RNAcentral lists this ribosomal RNA (548 nucleotides) under uncultured Glomeromycotina. Its description in RNAcentral is "SSU rRNA". It matches the Rfam family "Eukaryotic small subunit ribosomal RNA", at positions 548 to 1098 of the family's 1831-position model. The record is from RNAcentral. Lineage: Eukaryota; Fungi; Glomeromycota.
UUGGAGGGCAAGUCUGGUGCCAGCAGCCGCGGUAAUUCCAGCUCCAAUAGCGUAUAUUAAAGUUGUUGCAGUUAAAAAGCUCGUAGUUGAAUUUCGGGAUCAGAUUGUCGGUCGUGCCUCGGUACGUACUGGCAUUAUUGGUUCCUACCUUCUGAAGAACCGCGAUGUCAUUAAUUUGGUGUCGUGGGGAAUCAGGACUGUUACUUUGAGAAAAUUAGAGUGUUUAAAGCAGGCGCACGCUUGAAUACAUUAGCAUGGAAUAAUGAAAUAGGACGUUUGAUUCUAUUUUGUUGGUUUCUAGGAUCGACGUAAUGAUUAAUAGGGAUAGUUGGGGGCAUUAGUAUUCAAUUGUCAGAGGUGAAAUUCUUGGAUUUAUUGAAGACUAACUACUGCGAAAGCAUUUGCCAAGGAUGUUUUCAUUAAUCAAGAACGAAAGUUAGGGGAUCGAAGACGAUCAGAUACCGUCGUAGUCUUAACCAUAAACUAUGCCGACUAGGGAUCGGAUGAUGUUAAUUUUUUAAUGACUCAUUCGGCGCCUUACGGGAAAC